This 253-nucleotide ribosomal RNA is filed under the name uncultured bacterium. RNAcentral describes it as "partial 16S ribosomal RNA". It matches the Rfam family "Bacterial small subunit ribosomal RNA", at positions 524 to 776 of the family's 1533-position model. The record is from RNAcentral.
UACGAAGGGUGCGAGCGUUGUUCGGAAUGACUGGGCGUAAAGCGCAUGUAGGCGGAUGUUUAAGUCAGGGGUGAAAUCCCGGGGCUCAACCCCGGAACGGCCUUUGAUACUGGAGAUCUGGAGUACGGGAGAGGUGAGUGGAAUUCCGAGUGUAGAGGUGAAAUUCGUAGAUAUUCGGAAGAACACCGGUGGCGAAGGCGGCUCACUGGCCCGUAACUGACGCUGAGGUGCGAAAGCGUGGGGAGCAAACAGG